AGUGAACGCUGGCGGUAGGCCUAACACAUGCAAGUCGAACGGCAGCACAGUAAGAGCCUGCUCUUACGGGUGGCGAGUGGCGGACGGGUGAGGAAUACAUCGGAAUCUACUUUUUCGUGGGGGAUAACGUAGGGAAACUUACGCUAAUACCGCAUACGACCUACGGGUGAAAGCAGGGGAUCUUCGGACCUUGCGCGAUUGAAUGAGCCGAUGUCGGAUUAGCUAGUUGGCGGGGUAAUGGCCCACCAAGGCGACGAUCCGUAGCUGGUCUGAGAGGAUGGUAGGCCACACUGGAACGGGGACACGGUCCAGACUCCUACGGGAGGCAGCAGUGGGGAAUAUUGGACAAUGGGCGCAAGCCUGAUCCAGCCAUACCGCGUGGGUGAAGAAGGCCUUCGGGUUGUAAAGCCCUUUUGUUGGGAAAGAAAAGCAGCAGGUUAAUACCCCGCUGUUCUGACGGUACCCAAAGAAUAAGCACCGGCUAACUUCGUG
RNAcentral lists this ribosomal RNA (492 nucleotides) under uncultured bacterium. Its description in RNAcentral is "partial 16S ribosomal RNA". It matches the Rfam family "Bacterial small subunit ribosomal RNA", at positions 29 to 507 of the family's 1533-position model. The record is from RNAcentral.